GGGGACCCGCAAGCGGUGGAGCAUGUGGUUUAAUUCGACGCAACGCGAAGAACCUUACCAGCUCUUGACAUCUUCUGUUCACUCUAGAGAUAGAGCUUCCCCUUCGGGGGCAGAAUGACAGGUGGUGCAUGGUUGUCGUCAGCUCGUGUCGUGAGAUGUUGGGUUAAGUCCCAUAACGAGCGCAACCCUUAUUGUUAGUUGCCAGCAUUCAGUUGGGCACUCUAGCGAGACUGCCGGUGAUAAACCGGAGGAAGGUGGGGAUGACGUCAAAUCAUCAUGCCCCUUAUGAGCUGGGCUACACACGUGCUACAAUGGACGGUACAACGGGUAGCGAGGGCGCGAGCCUUAGCAAAUCCUAAUAAGCCGUUCUCAGUUCGGAUUGUUCUCUGCAACUCGAGAGCAUGAAGCCGGAAUCGCUAGUAAUCGCGGAUCAGAAUGCCGCGGUGAAUACGUUCCCGGGUCUUGUACACACC
This 473-nucleotide ribosomal RNA is filed under the name uncultured bacterium. RNAcentral describes it as "bacterial SSU rRNA". It matches the Rfam family "Bacterial small subunit ribosomal RNA", at positions 915 to 1391 of the family's 1533-position model. The record is from RNAcentral.